RNAcentral lists this ribosomal RNA (731 nucleotides) under Colletotrichum sp. RNAcentral's name for it is "partial large subunit ribosomal RNA". It matches the Rfam family "Eukaryotic large subunit ribosomal RNA", at positions 80 to 840 of the family's 3401-position model. The record is from RNAcentral. Lineage: Eukaryota; Fungi; Ascomycota; Sordariomycetes; Glomerellales; Glomerellaceae.
UCAGUAACGGCGAGUGAAGCGGCAACAGCUCAAAUUUGAAAUCUGGCCCUAGGCCCGAGUUGUAAUUUGCAGAGGAUGCUUUUGGUGCGGUGCCUUCCAAGUUCCCUAGAACGGGACGCCAGAGAGGGUGAGAGCCCCGUACAGUUGGACACCAAGCCUUUGUAAAGCUCCUUCGACGAGUCGAGUAGUUUGGGAAUGCUGCUCAAAAUGGGAGGUAUAUUUCUUCUAAAGCUAAAUACCGGCCAGAGACCGAUAGCGCACAAGUAGAGUGAUCGAAAGAUGAAAAGCACUUUGAAAAGAGGGUUAAACAGCACGUGAAAUUGUUAAAAGGGAAGCGCUUGUGACCAGACUUGCGUCCGGUGAAUCACCCAGCUCUCGCGGCUGGGGCACUUCGCCGGCUCAGGCCAGCAUCAGCUCGCUGUCGGGGACAAAAGCUUCAGGAACGUAGCUCUCUUCGGGGAGUGUUAUAGCCUGUUGCACAAUACCCUUCGGCGGGCUGAGGUACGCGCUCCGCAAGGAUGCUGGCAUAAUGGUCAUCAGCGACCCGUCUUGAAAACACGGACCAAGGAGUCAACCUUAUGUGCGAGUGUUCGGGUGUCAAACCCCCUACGCGUAAUGAAAGUGAACGCAGGUGAGAGCUUCGGCGCAUCAUCGACCGAUCCUGAUGUUCUCGGAUGGAUUUGAGUAAGAGCAUAUAGGGUUGGACCCGAAAGAAGGUGAACUAUGCGUGU